Molecule: ribosomal RNA, 497 nt
Filed under: uncultured bacterium
Lineage: Bacteria
Description: partial 16S ribosomal RNA
Rfam family: Bacterial small subunit ribosomal RNA
Source: RNAcentral
GAUGAACGCUGGCGGCGUGCCUAAUACAUGCAAGUCGAGCGAACAGAUGAGGAGCUUGCUCCUCUGACGUUAGCGGCGGACGGGUGAGUAACACGUGGAUAACCUACCUAUAAGACUGGGAUAACUUCGGGAAACCGGAGCUAAUACCGGAUAAUAUAUUGCACCGCAUGGUUCAAUAGUGAAAGACGGUUUUGCUGUCACUUAUAGAUGGAUCCGCGCCGCAUUAGCUAGUUGGUAAGGUAACGGCUUACCAAGGCGACGAUGCGUAGCCGACCUGAGAGGGUGAUCGGCCACACUGGAACUGAGACACGGUCCAGACUCCUGCGGGAGGCAGCAGUAGGGAAUCUUCCGCAAUGGGCGAAAGCCUGACGGAGCAACGCCGCGUGAGUGAUGAAGGUCUUCGGAUCGUAAAACUCUGUUAUUAGGGGAGAACAAAUGUGUAAGUAACUAUGCACGUCUUGACGGUACCUGAUCAGAAAGCCACGGCUAACUACGUG